UCCCUGGCGGUCCAGUGGUUAAGACCCUGCCCUCCCAAUGCAGGGGCACAGGUUCAGUCCCUGGUCAGGGAA
RNAcentral lists this transfer RNA (72 nucleotides) under Ovis aries (sheep). It matches the Rfam family "tRNA". From Rfam's summary of the family: Transfer RNA (tRNA) molecules are approximately 80 nucleotides in length. Their secondary structure includes four short double-helical elements and three loops (D, anti-codon, and T loops). Lineage: Eukaryota; Metazoa; Chordata; Mammalia; Artiodactyla; Bovidae. The record is from Rfam by way of RNAcentral.